RNAcentral lists this transfer RNA (74 nucleotides) under Poecilocoris druraei. Its description in RNAcentral is "tRNA-Cys". It matches the Rfam family "tRNA". From Rfam's summary of the family: Transfer RNA (tRNA) molecules are approximately 80 nucleotides in length. Their secondary structure includes four short double-helical elements and three loops (D, anti-codon, and T loops). The record is from RNAcentral. Lineage: Eukaryota; Metazoa; Arthropoda; Insecta; Hemiptera; Scutelleridae.
GGCUUUAUAGUCAAAAAUUAUGAUAUUAGACUGCAAUUCUAAAGUUAGGUAAAUAUAAUUAACCCUUAAAGCUU